Molecule: ribosomal RNA, 253 nt
Filed under: uncultured bacterium
Lineage: Bacteria
Description: partial 16S ribosomal RNA
Rfam family: Bacterial small subunit ribosomal RNA
Source: RNAcentral
UACGUAGGUGACAAGCGUUGUCCGGAUUUACUGGGCGUAAAGAGCGCGCAGGCGGUCGUUCAAGUCGAGUGUGAAAGCCCCCGGCUCAACUGGGGAGGGUCACUCGAUACUGAUCGACUCGAAGGCAGGAGAGGGUAGUGGAAUUCCCGGUGUAGUGGUGAAAUGCGUAGAUAUUGGGAGGAACACCAAUGGCGAAGGCAGCUCGCUGGGACGGUACUGACGCUGAGACGCGAAAGCGUGGGGAGCAAACAGG